RNAcentral lists this ribosomal RNA (456 nucleotides) under Streptomyces sp. 8BC10. RNAcentral describes it as "bacterial SSU rRNA". It matches the Rfam family "Bacterial small subunit ribosomal RNA", at positions 1 to 466 of the family's 1533-position model. Lineage: Bacteria; Bacillati; Actinomycetota; Actinomycetes; Kitasatosporales; Streptomycetaceae. The record is from RNAcentral.
UUUAGAGUUUGAUCCUGGCUCAGGACGAACNCUGGCGGCGUGCUUAACACAUGCAAGUCGAACGAUGAAGCCUUUCGGGGUGGAUUAGUGGCGAACGGGUGAGUAACACGUGGGCAAUCUGCCCUUCACUCUGGGACAAGCCCUGGAAACGGGGUCUAAUACCGGAUAACACUCUGUCCCGCAUGGGACGGGGUUAAAAGCUCCGGCGGUGAAGGAUGAGCCCGCGGCCUAUCAGCUUGUUGGUGGGGUGAUGGCCUACCAAGGCGACGACGGGUAGCCGGCCUGAGAGGGCGACCGGCCACACUGGGACUGAGACACGGCCCAGACUCCUACGGGAGGCAGCAGUGGGGAAUAUUGCACAAUGGGCGAAAGCCUGAUGCAGCGACGCCGCGUGAGGGAUGACGGCCUUCGGGUUGUAAACCUCUUUCAGCAGGGAAGAAGCGAAAGUACGUACUC